UUAACUAAAACCAAAGAUAGAGGUAUUUCACUGUUAAUGAAAUUAUUGAUUAAAAAUCUAGUUAAA
Molecule: transfer RNA, 66 nt
Filed under: Ptilomera tigrina
Lineage: Eukaryota; Metazoa; Arthropoda; Insecta; Hemiptera; Gerridae
Description: tRNA-Asn
Source: RNAcentral